UGCAGUCGAACGAGACCUUCGGGUCUAGUGGCGCACGGGUGAGUAACGCGUGGAAACCUGCCAUUCUGUACGGAAUAACGAUUGGAAACGAUCGCUAAUACCGUAUACGCCCUGUGGGGGAAAGGUCCGCCGCAGAAUGAGGGGUCCGCGUCCGAUUAGCUUGUUGGUGGGGUAAAAGCCUACCAAGGCGAUGAUCGGUAGCUGGUCUGAGAGGAUGAUCAGCCACACUGGGACUGAGACACGGCCCAGACUCCUACGGGAGGCAGCAGUGGGGAAUAUUGGACAAUGGGGGCAACCCUGAUCCAGCAAUGCCGCGUGUGUGAAGAAGGCCUUAGGGUUGUAAAGCACUUUCAAUGGUGAAGAUGAUGACGGUAGCCGUAGAAGAAGCCCCGGCUAACUUCGUGCCAGCAGCCGCGGUAAUACGAAGGGGGCGAGCGUUGUUCGGAAUUACUGGGCGUAAAGGGCGCGCAGGCGGCCAAUCCAGUCAGGUGUGAAAAGCCCCGGGCUUAACCUGGGAACUGCACUUGAUACUGAUUGGCUAGAAAACGGAAGAGGGCAGU
Molecule: ribosomal RNA, 560 nt
Filed under: uncultured bacterium
Lineage: Bacteria
Description: bacterial SSU rRNA
Rfam family: Bacterial small subunit ribosomal RNA
Source: RNAcentral